RNAcentral lists this ribosomal RNA (675 nucleotides) under Inocybe lacera var. lacera. RNAcentral describes it as "eukaryotic LSU rRNA". It matches the Rfam family "Eukaryotic large subunit ribosomal RNA", at positions 1 to 653 of the family's 3401-position model. The record is from RNAcentral. Lineage: Eukaryota; Fungi; Basidiomycota; Agaricomycetes; Agaricales; Inocybaceae.
UUGACCUCAAAUCAGGUAGGACUACCCGCUGAACUUAAGCAUAUCAAUAAGCGGAGGAAAAGAAACUAACAAGGAUUCCCCUAGUAACUGCGAGUGAAGCGGGAAAAGCUCAAAUUUGAAAUCUGGCAGUUCUUUUGACUGUCUGAGUUGUAAUCUAGAGAAGUGUUACCUGUGCUGGACCGUGUACAAGUCUUCUGGAAUGGAGCAUCAUAGAGGGUGAGAAUCCCGUCUUUGACAUGGACUACCAGUGUGCUGUGGUGCGCUCUCAAAGAGUCGAGUUGUUUGGGAAUGCAGCUCAAAAUGGGUGGUAAAUGCCAUCUAAAGCUAAAUAUUGGCGAGAGACCGAUAGCGAACAAGUACCGUGAGGGAAAGAUGAAAAGAACUUUGGAAAGAGAGUUAAACAGUACGUGAAAUUGCUGAAAGGGAAACGCUUGAAGUCAGUCACRUUGGCUAGAAAUCAGCCUUGCUUUUGCUUGGUGUACUUUCUGGUUUGACGGGUCAGCAUCGAUUUCUUUGACCAUUGGAUAAAGUCUUUGGGAAUGUGGCAUCUUUUGAUGUGUUAUAGCCCAUUGUCGCAUACAAUGGUUGGGAUCGAGGAACUCAGCACGCCGCAAGGCCGGGCAUAGACCACGCUCGUGCUUAGGAUGCUGGCAUAAUGGCUUUAAUCGACCCGUC